AACAUCGCGCACCUGCGGGAACCUGCGGAGGGAUCAUUACAGAGUUGCAAAACUCCCUAAACCAUUGUGAACGUUACCUAAACCGUUGCUUCGGCGGGCGGCCCGGGUCCUUCCCGGCGCCCAUCGGCCCUCGCGGGCGCCCGCCGGAGGUAAACCAAACUAUUGCAUUGUAUGGCCUCUCUGAGUCUUCUGUACUGAAUAAGCCAAAACUUUCAACAAUGGAUCUCAGAUCGGAAGAGC
RNAcentral lists this unclassified non-coding RNA (240 nucleotides) under soil metagenome. Its description in RNAcentral is "partial contains 5.8S ribosomal RNA, internal transcribed spacer 2, and large subunit ribosomal RNA". The record is from RNAcentral.